RNAcentral lists this ribosomal RNA (487 nucleotides) under uncultured bacterium. Its description in RNAcentral is "bacterial SSU rRNA". It matches the Rfam family "Bacterial small subunit ribosomal RNA", at positions 10 to 518 of the family's 1533-position model. The record is from RNAcentral.
AGUUUGAUUCUGGCUCAGGACGAACGCUGGCGGCGUGCUCAUACAUGCAAGUCGAACGAUAAGGUCUCUUCGGAGACACAUAAGUGGCGGACGGGUGAGUAAUGUGUAGAGAAUCUGCCCUAGAGUGGGGGACAACAGUUGGAAACGACUGCUAAUACCGCAUAUGCGCGUAGCUGAGAAGCUAUUCGUGAAAACUCCGGUGCUCUGGGAUGAGUCUGCAUCUGAUUAGCUAGUUGGGGGUGUAAUGGACCACCAAGGCGACGAUCAGUAGCUGGUUUGAGAGGAUGAUCAGCCACAAUGGGACUGAGACACGGCCCAUACUCCUACGGGAGGCAGCAGUAGGGAAUUUUGCGCAAUGGGGGGAACCCUGACGCCAGCAACGCCGCGUGAUUGAAUAAGCCCUUCGGGGUGUAAAGAUCUGUCAGUGGGGACGAAACUUGACGGUACCCACAGAGGAAGCAUCGGCUAACUCCGUGCCAGCCGCCGC